Molecule: long non-coding RNA, 724 nt
Filed under: Physcomitrium patens
Lineage: Eukaryota; Viridiplantae; Streptophyta; Bryopsida; Funariales; Funariaceae
Description: long non-coding RNA (PPAT_LNC004372)
Source: RNAcentral
CAAUUUACAUGACUACAAGAAUAUAGUAGAGCCUCCACACAAGAAGUACAAAAUGUAAACUAUCUAAACUCCAUUUUCAAAAUUAUUUUUUCUUAAUUUCUAAUAUAGAUCCUAUAAUACUUUUAUUUCUUCUUUAUACACAAUCUUGUAGUACUAUUCAAAAGACAAUCCAUCAAAAUCUACAAACAACUACUAAUCCUCUCUCAUACUCUUUUUUAUCAUAGGCAUCUUAUAAAUCUUGAUUUUCUAUCCAUUUCUUCUAAGCUCUACAAACAACUUAUAGAAAAAAACAAUAGCUAGUAUAAAUUACUUACAUCUUUUGCAUUCAAAACUAAUUUAGACCAAAUUAUAGUUUCACUUGCCUUCAUAAAUAAUUUGCUUAAAAAACUAGUCUUUGCCCUUAAUUCCACCACCACCUCUUCAAUCAAAUUAUUUUCAAUAGCUUUGGCUCUCAAUUUCUUGUUAACUGUAAUUGAUAACAAGUAAAAAGAAGAACAAUCUUUGACUUGGUCACCUUAAUUGUCAAUGAAGGAUAGACAUUGUAUAGAAUUAUUGAAGUAGUAGCAACAAAAGUAAAACCAAUCAAUAUUAGAGGAACAACAAAAAAAAGAAUUGAGCUUGAAAAAUACAAACAAAAGAGUGAAGCUUAGACAAAUUGACAAAAAAAGAACUAAAAUUGUAAAAACCUAAUUUUUUUUGCGGCAUCUAGAAUAUUAAAGGACUC